Molecule: ribosomal RNA, 113 nt
Filed under: Cirrhilabrus lanceolatus (Long-tailed wrasse)
Lineage: Eukaryota; Metazoa; Chordata; Actinopteri; Labriformes; Labridae
Description: partial 16S ribosomal RNA
Source: RNAcentral
CGCAGAAAAGCUAGCCCCCACCUAAAACCCAACAACCCCUAUCAAUAACCCCACACACCCUACAAUUAUAUCAAACAAAACAUUUUUCCCCCUUAGUAUGGGCGACAGAAAAG